Mercenaria mercenaria is the source of this 1043-nucleotide long non-coding RNA. RefSeq lists it as uncharacterized. Lineage: Eukaryota; Metazoa; Mollusca; Bivalvia; Venerida; Veneridae. The transcript is spliced from 3 exons. The record is from RefSeq and is a predicted model, not a curated record.
AAGAACUAUAGAUCUAAGUUAUGAAAUAUUGCUGACUUUCAGUUAUACAUAUUGUUCAUGACAUUUCGAAACUUCAGUCGGAUUACUAGGAUGUGAUCAUAUGAUAUCAUAUAUUUACAUUUUGCAAAAAAAACGCAUAAUAGUGAUAAAUGUUUGAACACUUGCGAAUGAGGUAAAUAGCAAAUGGAUAUAACUAUAUUGAUAUAUGACCGUAACUGGAAUGUGUAAAACAAAUAGUAGAACAACAUCAUCCUUUCAUAUACUGAUGACAAUUCAAUGUGUUAUUACUGACGUGGAUUUUAAAAAUUCAAAACUGUGCUGUCAACAUUUUUCAGAAUUUCUUUGCAUUGUAAGAACUGUUCAGUAUUUAGGCGUAGUAUUAUAGAAAUUGAAAGCUAUGUGAAACACAUUCGUUUGAUAUGCAUCAACUUUAAAAUACACGAGGAGAUAAAUGCAAAAUCUGUGAAUAACUAAUGCUAAUAUACUGGAAAAGCACCGAUUGUUUGUCCGCACAUCGAGACUUGUGCUAUUUUUAGAUAGCAGACAUUGUCAGUGACGUCACAGAUCCUUACAUACGAGACAGCGCUAUGUAUAUAGACAAUCAAGCAUCUGAUUGAGGUUGAUGAUUCAUAUACAGAAUGAAAGGUAGCAAGAGGGCAUGUAUCUGUACAGACAAUAUGAUAACAUAAGGGGUUUGGAGUGUAUACCAGUAAUAAUGUUGGAAGUUUUAAGACAGACAUUGUUAUUUCUGUUGACAAGGGAAGUGGGUACGAGCAGAAAGUUAACAGACUGCGAGAAAGGAAUUGAACGACCAUUCCAGUUCUUCCAAUAACAGCCUGGAUGAUACAAGCGCUUUUGUUAUUGAUUGAUAUAUGGAAAUAUUAUUGAAUCUGCAAAAGUGACUGUUUCUGUUUAAGCUCUGACAGACUCAGUGAAAAUGAUGAGAACCUAACACAAGGAUUUCCAUAAACGUUUUUUUUCUAAAUACGAAAAAAUGUACUACAUGUAUGAAUUUAAUGUACUAUGUAAAAUAACUGCAUUUA